Termitomyces sp. T32_za158 is the source of this 131-nucleotide non-coding RNA. The record is from the annotation of a GenBank genome assembly. NCBI's taxonomy places the organism in Eukaryota, Fungi, Basidiomycota, Agaricomycetes, Agaricales, Lyophyllaceae.
GUCACUUUGCCGGAGUGGUUAACGGGAUCGCCUGCUAUGUAUCCUAACCAAUGAGGACGCCCCCUUGGAGGAGGAUGAUGCGCAUUAGCGGUUGGGCUUUGCCCGCGAGUGUUCGAAUCGCUCAGGUGACG